UCUUCUCAAGUGUUCAUAGCGACGUUACUUUUUGAUCCUUCGAUGUCGACUUUUCCUAUCAUACUGAAGCAGAAUUCAGUAAGCGUUAGAUUGUUCACCCAUUGAUAGAGAACAUGAACUGGGCUUAGACUAUUCGACGCGCAGCGGGCUAAAGGGGUAGUU
This 162-nucleotide non-coding RNA is filed under the name Linnemannia elongata AG-77. RNAcentral's name for it is "Mortierella elongata AG-77 Eukaryotic large subunit ribosomal RNA". It matches the Rfam family "Eukaryotic large subunit ribosomal RNA", at positions 2840 to 2984 of the family's 3401-position model. The record is from Rfam by way of RNAcentral. Lineage: Eukaryota; Fungi; Mortierellomycota; Mortierellomycetes; Mortierellales; Mortierellaceae.